This is a long non-coding RNA of Cucumis sativus (cucumber), 1509 nucleotides long. RefSeq lists it as uncharacterized. NCBI's taxonomy places the organism in Eukaryota, Viridiplantae, Streptophyta, Magnoliopsida, Cucurbitales, Cucurbitaceae. The transcript is spliced from 2 exons. The record is from RefSeq and is a predicted model, not a curated record.
AUUUAUUUAAUUUCUAAACCUUCACGCAAUUCCGACCAUCUCCAACCAUCAAUCUGUGUCCGUCACCACCACUGCUCCCUCGUGCCCAUUUCUUCAUUCCAACGCUGUCCCAACUUCCUCCAACGUCAUCUUUUCCAAACCCUCCUUGUGCCCAUCUUUUCCAAACCCUCCCUGUGUCAGCAACCUCCUCGUGCUCGUCUCUUCACUCCAACGCUGAUUGAUGAGUUGAAAACGAUGGUACAACGUCUAGUUGAGGUAAUUUGAUGCUUUUGAUACAAGUACAUAAGUUUAAAUAAGUGAUCGUUGAGCUUAACUAAGUGAUAGUUUAUUAUAACUAAAUGGUCACUUAUAUUUACUAAGGAAUCAUUUAGCUAAAUGAUCGUUUAGCUAAUGAUCAUGCAAAUAUUCUCUUAUAGAAUAGUGAUCACAUGAAUGUUUACGGCAAUGUCACUAAUCAUGAUAGUUAUCACUCCCCGCCCCACGCGUGUCCUGGACUUCGCGAUGUGGUAUGUGACGCUACCUGACCAACCCUAAUGCCUCAAAAUGAAACGCCAAAACACUUAACCUAAGUUCUAAAACUUUAACUUGAUUGCUUAGUUCCAAUCCUAAUAACUUAAUACAAACUCGAUACUUAGAUAUUAGGCAACAAGAAAUAUACAAUGAAAGAUAUCAAUAACAAAGACUUCUUUGAUUCCUUAUGGAGAAAUCUUCCUCUUCGCAGCAAUGAAGGCCAAAGAGGUAAUGAAGGCCAAGGAGCCAUCUGUAAUUCUAAUUAUUUAGUUGUCAACACAUGAAAUAAAAGACAAAAUGUUUAGAUGAACCAAUAAAAUGAUUUGUUGUGAGACCCAAAUCGUGAAUUACCUUACGCAAUAAGAUUACACACGACGAAAGUGGUCCAAGCGAGAAGGAGCACUAGGCGGUAAAAGGCUAAACAAAGAACUCCACCGCGAGAUAGGUUCACUUCUCCAUAAAAGUAAUGACAUCAUUGCCUACAUAAGGAAGUCGGCAAAUGAUUUGACCUCGUAGCCCAAUUAAAAUCUAGGAUAAGGAUAUGACAGAGACACGUGGCGUUUUAGUAUUGGACUUGUUUUCGUUGCCGACAGUAGUAAUCAUUAUGUCAUGGGCAGACUCCACCUGAAAAGGUUAUAACUAGAAGAAUUUCAGUCAUUUUGAGUUUGUUUUUUUAGUCAUAAGUUUUCCUAAGAGAAAUUUGAAGAACUCUGAAGCCUUAGAGAAUCAAAUCAACUGAAAUUCAGCAAGGACCUGCAAGCGAGUGCAAAAAGGGGAACUUGAGUUGAAGGCCAAACACAUAUGUUGGUUGUUUGUCAUUGUGAGUGGUUAUUUGUCAUAAAAAGAAUUUCGAAAGUUUGCUUGAAUGAAUCUGUAAAUGUGCUUCUUUAAGAGAUUAGGAUUAUAUGUCUUUUCCUUUGCGUUUUCUAAUUCCAAAAUGCACCAUCUCAUGCAUGAACUGGACUUACUUGUGUUGAAAUGAAAUGAUCAUACCAUGCA